RNAcentral lists this transfer RNA (93 nucleotides) under Klebsiella variicola. RNAcentral describes it as "tRNA-Glu(ctc)". The record is from RNAcentral. Lineage: Bacteria; Pseudomonadati; Pseudomonadota; Gammaproteobacteria; Enterobacterales; Enterobacteriaceae.
UAUGGCCAUAGAACAUGUCGUAUUUGUCGGUGCUCUGCCGACGAACUUUGGCGUCAAAGUUCAGGCCGCCGGUGCUGAAUCCCCCGGCUUUGA